ACUUUCAGACCAGACUAGUUGCGUUAACUGUGAUUGUAGUUGUUGUAGUAUCUACACACUCUGCACAACCGUGGAGCCAACAGAAUAAGGAGCGGAUAAAUGUCUUCUCCAACUCAAGCAGACGACGAUGAGGUGGAAGAAGUGGAGUUUGUAUCAGAGGGGCCUGCCAGACCAGUAUUGGAAUGUAUUGACCUGGAUGAUGAGGCUGAGGGAUGUCCAUCAUUUGCAAGCACAAUUGAAGAUAAAAUCUCCCGCAAUAAAGCUCGUGUUUCAUCAACAUUGGACAGACUAGCACAGAAGGUGGCUCUUGAGAAGCAGGAAAGAAUAGAUAAAUGUCGGGCAUUCAAGGAGAAGCAAAUCCUACAAAGGGCUCAUGGACGGCAGGAACUGGCUUUCACUUCUUCAAAUGGCUUCAAUCGCGAUGCAAAGAACUGUGUGGACAUGUGGUUAAAGAGAGCAGGUCCUAAACCUGGAGUGAUUCAUUCUGGAUUUGGAGGGCGAAACAGACGUGUUGCUAUUCCUGGAAAUAGUUCCAAUAGACAGACUUGUCCAGUGGUCAACUGUACCCGGGUUUAUGACACUCUGUCCCUUCUUGACGGUCACCUAAAAAGGUUUGAUCACUCCCCUUGUGACCCAACCAUUCAUAUUAAAGGAUGGCCAUCUGAGCUCUUUGCCUGCAUAGCCUGCUCUCAACAUUUUGAGACCGAAGAAGCAUGGAUGACACAUCUCAUGUCCAAGGUGUCCUCAUCUGCCGCUGACGGUCACAGCAUCAAUCAGACCUUUCAGAGGAUUGUGUGUUUCGCCUGUCCGGCCUGCUUCCACCUCUUCAACCUCCGAGAUGAGUGCCUGCAGCACAUGACAACCAGAAACCACUUCACAGAGUCACUCGCCAUGAGCGAACCCAAAGGAAGAGCACAACCGAUUGCCGUCCCACAAUACGCUAAGAAUCGUCUCGUCGCGUUGUGCAAGGAUGUCCCGUUCAAAGUCCGAUGCUCUUUAUGUCACAAAGUACUGAUCUCACAUCAAGCAGCUAAGGCUCACUUUAAUGUGCAAUGCAGAGAUGGCUGUGCCGUGUCCUUGGCUGAUCAAACCAUAUUGCAGGUGAUGAAGCGGCUGCAAGUGGCCGGGCAGUGUUCCCUCUGCUGUAAAAUCUUCCUCAGCCAAGCUGAAAUCGAGAAACACAAAGAAUCGACCCAGCAUGACGUGGAGGUGAAUAACACCAUGGCCAAAGCCCUCCUUCAGUACUGCAGGUUUAGAGAAAUUCAACACACCCAGAGCGCUGGAGAGGCACAGGGCAGAAGACAGCCCACUGGCCUUGAGUCACCUUCUCAAAAAAGAACCAAGAAGAGGAGUGAUUGUGAUGAACUUCCAGCCAAGCGUAAGAGAGGCAGCGCUGUUAGAAACUAUGUAACAGCCUGGAUCUGCGAGUGCAGCAUACAGUUCUCAGAGGAGGCUACAGCCAAAAAGCAUAUAUUGGCUUCAAACCAAAUCUUCCAUCAGUGUGGCGUGUGUGGCAAACACAUGGGGGAGUCCGCCAUCACCCGCCUGCAUAUGAGUCGCUUCCACGGAGGAGCUCAUCUCUCCAACUUCCUGUAUAACUGCCGCAAGUGCAACGUGGAAAUGCCUCGGUAUGAAGACAUCAUGUCUCACGUGGCCGAGGCUCACAGCGGACACACCUACUUCACUGAACAGGAAGUGCCCGAGGAGGUCCAUACCAAGCCUUCAACCAGCAGCAAAGCAGGUUCAUCGUCCGGGUCCACGGUCCAACAGAACAUAGCAGAGACGUCUUCUUCCAACACAGAGCCGAUGUGGAUGUGCAGGAUGUGCGAGGACACCUUUGACUCGGAAGCGGCCGCACGCCAACACUGCAGCGACUUGAGCAGCCACAGCUUCCAGAGGUUCAUCUGUGGACACUGCCCCCAGAAGUUCUUUAAGGAUUCCACUGUGCGGAGACACUGUGCCAAUGAGCACGACGGGCAGAUAAAGAGCUCCCACUUCUGCGGCCUCUGCGACAGCAUGCCGUUCCAAACAGAGGCCGAGUUCCUGGAGCACUACAAGAGUCUUCACAGUACCGACUACUACCGUAUGGAUGAGAGUGAAGCCGAUCAGCCUGCUGUUGCUGAAAGCAGCAGUCAGAGUACGUGCCCGUGCAUGGGUUCCAAUCAGAGCCAAGAGAAGAAAAAAGCUACAUUUACACAAUGCAUGAGGUAUCUGUCUGCUGAGGGAGCAUGUCACUUUGUGUGCACUCUUUGUGGUGAAUAUUUGGAGACCUAUGCAAAGAUGAAGACUCACAUCCACACAAAGCACGCAGCCUUGAACCUGGACAAGACCUACGAAAUACAAUGCGAAGCUUGCCAGGAGAGUUUCACGAGUGUCCCGAGUUUCCAUAAACACUAUCACUCCCGACACUGUACAAUGGAACCUUGCAUGAGCUCCAGGACCUGCAGGAAAAUCACAAAAGCAGAAUCAUCCCCUGUAACAGUGCUCGAUGCCGUGGAGAUCAUAACAGACACCAAUGAGAUUGAAGAUGAAUCCGUGGUGAAGGUUUUGAGAAUGGAACCGGCCGACAGACAGAAGGAAGCAGGUGAUUCGGAGGAAGAGAUGCACCAUGAACCCUCUUCAAAUGCAGAAGAAGAAAGAGAGUCGGCAGGUUAGGGUUCUGUGGCUUGGCAUGUAUUCCUCGUUUCCCCUGAGUUUAACUUACUGCAGCCUCCGGAGGAAAAGAAAACAUACAACUUUUUUUGUUUUACAGAGAUGGAAGCAGUUCUCAGAAGAAGUCUUUUGGAGUUUUGAAGACAUGAUGAUUUUUGUUCUUUGUUUGUGACACAAUGCUUAUCUGACAUUAUAUUGCGAUGAUUUGUCCUAAGUAUUUGUGUUCUGAAUAUAAUAAAUAAAUAAAUACAA
Gymnodraco acuticeps is the source of this 2904-nucleotide RNA transcript. It is a transcript of the gene named zinc finger protein 451, with no coding region annotated. The record is from RefSeq and is a predicted model, not a curated record. The transcript is spliced from 13 exons. Lineage: Eukaryota; Metazoa; Chordata; Actinopteri; Perciformes; Bathydraconidae.